GCAUCUUUUCCAGAAGGCAAGAAAGGUCUUUUCCUGUUCUUUUUUUCUCUUUCAGUUGCAUUUGUGAAUAAUUUCAUAUGAGAAAGAAAGGAAAAGGAAUAUCUGGAGAUAUUCUUCAAGACACAGAGAAGACACCAUCCUGGAAAAAGUGGAUUCUUUACUGACUGAGACACCAGGAGGAUUCUUUACCACGGAGCCACCUGGGAAACCCUUGGGUUCCACCAUCAUAGCCAUAAUCUGUGGGGUUCUUGUCUUACAUAUCCAUGCUCUACUACAGAAGCAGCUAUUUACCGAAUAAAAAAAUUAUUUCACUAUUAGAAAAACCAGCUGACACAUCCUAAGAGCUCAUGUUCUUAAUAACAAAUAGAAGUUACAACCUAAGGUAAGAAUGUUAAACUAUUGAACUGAUAUGAAUUCACUUUGUAUUCAAAGAUCUA
RNAcentral lists this long non-coding RNA (437 nucleotides) under Bos indicus x Bos taurus (hybrid cattle). RNAcentral's name for it is "lncRNA (ENSBIXG00005015908.1)". Lineage: Eukaryota; Metazoa; Chordata; Mammalia; Artiodactyla; Bovidae. The record is from RNAcentral.